GGGCCUUGUACACACCGCCCGUCACACCAUGGGAGUGGGUUGCAAAAGAAGUAGGUAGCUUAACCUUCGGGAGGGCGCUUACCACUUUGUGAUUCAUGACUGGGGUGAAGUCGUAACAAGGUAACCGUAGGGGAACCUGCGGUUGGAUCACCUCCUUA
This 158-nucleotide ribosomal RNA is filed under the name Escherichia coli. Its description in RNAcentral is "partial 16S ribosomal RNA". It matches the Rfam family "Bacterial small subunit ribosomal RNA", at positions 1376 to 1533 of the family's 1533-position model. The record is from RNAcentral. RNAcentral also lists the same sequence under 3 other names. Lineage: Bacteria; Pseudomonadati; Pseudomonadota; Gammaproteobacteria; Enterobacterales; Enterobacteriaceae.